UCAAGUCUGCUUAUUGGAAUAAUUACUCUGAUUACUAAAAAGGGAACUUUGAGUCUUAAUUUUCUUCCAUCAUUUGUUCUAAAAUGCAUUUUUAAGGGCAGCCUAAGGAAACUUCAGCUGGGUCUCAAAGUAGAGGCCCAGAUGUGCUGUCUAACAGUGAACUCAGGGAACUUAGUUAAGAUCACCUGGGCAGCCCCCUCCUGUUCCACCCUGACCCAGAGCAGGGGGACAUCAGCCCCAGGUAAAGCUCACAGAACAGCUGUCCAAGGAGCUGCAGGCUCUGCUCUGAGCCAGGGUGUCCUUGCUUAAGAUGCAGAGCAAAGCCCAGGGUAACUCCUAAGUCCAGGUGAGAUGUGCAGAAACCAAGGGGGAAUCAGCCCUCCCAGGAACAAUAUGCCCCCAGAGCCUCUCCUGCUCCCCGCUGCCUGGGAGCUCAUGUCUUGGUGCGAGCUGCAAGGCUGAGUAGACUCAGCCUUCCAUUGCAAGGUGAAGUCUGUCAAGGAAACAGCAGAGGGAUUCAUAACAGUUACGAAUACUUAUAAAGAGUUGUGUGUUUAGAAUACAAGCAGAUAACCAAAGAUCACCACUACAUGAUAACAGCUAAUGAUAUCAAAAAGAACAGCCAGUCCUGAAAGGGAUGGAUGUCAUACAGGAUGUAAAAGAAAUGAGCAAAGUUCUUAGAUAUCACAAGCACCAUGGUUAACUUCAGAAACUGUGACACAACAGAAAGAUCUCCAGAUCAACGAGAUACUAGGGUUCAAAGCUAAAAACAAAAGCUGAAAGCAAAAGGAAAGGAAAAGAUACAGACAAAUCCUAACCUCAAGACAGCUAGUAUGGCUAUAUUUAAAUGUCAUAAAAUGAUUUAAGACACAAAACAUCAUCAAGAAUAGAGAUUGUGCUGGGUGAAGUGGCACCUGCCUGUAAUCCCAGCAGUUUGGGAGGCUGAGGCAGAAGGAUCGAGAGUUCAAAAAGCCAGCCUCAGCAACAGCGAGGUGCUAAGCAACUCAGCAACACCCUGUCUCUAAAUAAAAU
This 1032-nucleotide long non-coding RNA is filed under the name Marmota monax (woodchuck). The record is from RNAcentral. Lineage: Eukaryota; Metazoa; Chordata; Mammalia; Rodentia; Sciuridae.